Anolis sagrei ordinatus is the source of this 1119-nucleotide non-coding RNA. NCBI's taxonomy places the organism in Eukaryota, Metazoa, Chordata, Lepidosauria, Squamata, Anolidae. The record is from RefSeq and is a predicted model, not a curated record.
UAGUGCAAGCAGCUUGCUUCUAAUUAAAUAUGCGACUGAGUCUCAAAGCAUUUGCUUUCAGCCGCAGAGAGAAGAAGCUGCCCAAGAAUGGAAAGGAAGAAAUAUAUCUCACAUCAUCUGUCUGUCCAGAGCAUUUCCUUUGGGUUUAUGGAGCUUAUUCUUUGGCAACUUACCUUCUUUGGCAAUCAAAGAACAGCCUGGACAUCAUUACAGAUAGCCCUGGAUAUGGUUCYCAUUGGUGUCCAUCCAUCAAGCUAUAUGGAUUAAAUGGUCCAUCAAUGCAACAUGUUCAAGAGAUGAUCCUAUGGCUUGUUUCUACCAUUGAAGCCCAGCGUGCACUAUAAUACAUGCAAGAAGGAUAAGCUUGGAGUGCCCAGUCGCCGGGGUAACUGCCAGAAAAAUUCUCCAGAAGUUUGAAGAGGUCAGCUAACAGGGUCAACAACUCUGGCCUCUUUCUGAAGUGGGGCGGGCAGGCCCCCUCCCGCUGGCCGGGUGCUCAGCAAGGACUAACCCUGGGAGGGGGGGCAUUCCAGCUCUGAUAUAAAUUUUUUGAGUCAGUUCACGGCCUGGAAUCUCCAGGUGGCCUCCAAAAUCGAUGGUGACCCCUUGACCCUGUCUAACGUCGGCAUCGCAUCCAACCUAAGGAAGGAUUUAGGCAGGAAUGACAGCUUUCCGCUGAGUGUUAUUGGGGACAGUACAAACAAUUCGGGAAGCAAGGAGGUAGGUAUGAGGGGACCAGGUCAUUAAAAGCAUAUUAAAAAACAAUUGCAGCGGGUGGAGUGGGAGAAGAAGGCAAAGGAACACUCUGUGCCCUCUGAUCGUCCUUUGAUAGUUAGCAUUUCUUGUUUGUAUUUUGUCAACCUUUACAAAGAGUUAUUUCCCUCUGCGAAGGACUGAAGAUUUCCAUCUUUGGAUCUUGAUUUUAAUAUUUUGAAUGUUCCGAUACUCAGAAUAGAAAGUGAACUUUUUUAUAUACCCUAAGCCAAAAUUCAUUUUGCUUCCAAAUAUAAAUAUCAGGUAGGUAAAUCACACAAAUACAUUCCCGUUUUCUAAAUAUGCCAUUUUCCUUCAUAGAUAUAUUGCUAGAAUUAUCAAAAGUGUACGUCUCUAUAUAAUGUA